CCAGUAGCUGCGAGCGAACAGGGAAGAGCCCAGCACCGAAUCCCGCGGCCGAUACCGGACGCCGGGAAAUGUGGUGUUCGGGAGGAUCCGUUUAUCCCGAGGUUGCGCGGCGCGUCCAAGUCCUUCUUGAACGGGGCCACAGCCCAUAGAGGGUGCCAGGCCCGUAGCGACCGCUGCCGAUCGCGGGAGGAUCUCUCCUCAGAGUCGGGUUGCUUGAGAGUGCAGCCCUAAGUGGGUGGUAAACUCCAUCUAAGGCUAAAUAUGACCACGAGACCGAUAGCGAACAAGUACCGUGAGGGAAAGUUGAAAAGCACUUUGAAGAGAGAGUUCAAGAGUACGUGAAACCGUUCAGGGGUAAACCUGAGAAACCCGAAAGGUCGAAAGGGGAAAUUCAUUCGCGUCUCGGACGUGUCUGGAUCGAAUCGAGCGUUGGCUUUAUAGGCACGGUGCGACGGCGUUCUCGCGUCGAUCACACCCUUCGUUCAUCGAACCGGCGUCGAACGCGUGCACUUUUCCCCUAGUAGGACGUCGCGAUCCGUUGAGUGUCGGUCUAAGGUCCGCGGUGGAGCCCGUACGGACGUUUCACGACGUGCCGCGCGGACCCGCGGUAUAUCCCGACCGACUCGCUCGACGGUACACUUAUGGCGCGGGGCCGCUAUUUUUAGCGUUCGGCCUGCGGCAAGCGCGUUCGGUGUUUGACGGCGAUCGGACCUGGUGCCGAUCCUGUUCCCGGACGACUGUUGGCCGCGGUGUUCUCGAACGGACCUCGUAUUCGACGAUCUUUCGAUCGUCGAAACGCCGAUCUGCGACGCUAUAGCUUUGGGUACUUUCAGGAUAGCAUGUGCGCGAGUCAUUGGGACAUAACUAAACCUAAAGGCGUAAUGAAAGUGAAGGUCCACUUCGCGUGGACCGAGGGAGGAUGGGCUCGGCACAACCCGAACAAACGGGUGGCCCCCCCGCACUCCCGGGGCGUCUCGUUCUCAUCGCGAGAAGAGGCGCACCAAGAGCGUACACGCUGGGACCCGAAAGAUGGUGAACUAUGCCUGGUCAGGACGAAGUCAGGGGAAACCCUGAUGGAGGUCCGUAGCGAUUCUGACGUGCAAAUCGAUCGUCGGAACUGGGUAUAGGGGCGAAAGACUAAUCGAACCAUCUAGUAGCUGGUUCCCUCCGAAGUUUCCCUCAGGAUAGCUGGCGCUCGUAGCUCACGAGUCUCAUCCGGUAAAGCGAAUGAUUAGAGGCAUUGGGGUCGAAACGACCUCAACCUAUUCUCAAACUUUAAAUGGGUGAGAUCUCCGGCUUGCUCGAGAAUACAUGAAGCCGUGAGAAUAACGGAUCAGA
Molecule: ribosomal RNA, 1338 nt
Filed under: Migdolus fryanus
Lineage: Eukaryota; Metazoa; Arthropoda; Insecta; Coleoptera; Cerambycidae
Description: eukaryotic LSU rRNA
Rfam family: Eukaryotic large subunit ribosomal RNA
Source: RNAcentral